This 385-nucleotide ribosomal RNA is filed under the name uncultured bacterium. RNAcentral describes it as "bacterial SSU rRNA". It matches the Rfam family "Bacterial small subunit ribosomal RNA", at positions 29 to 414 of the family's 1533-position model. The record is from RNAcentral.
AUUGAACGCUGGCGGCAUGCUUUACACAUGCAAGUCGAACGGCAGCACGGGGGCAACCCUGGUGGCGAGUGGCGAACGGGUGAGUAAUGCAUCGGAACAUACCCAGUCGUGGGGGAUAACGUAGCGAAAGUUACGCUAAUACCGCAUACGUCCUGAGGGAGAAAGCGGGGGAUCGCAAGACCUCGCGCGAUUGGAGUGGCCGAUGUCAGAUUAGCUAGUUGGUGGGGUAAAGGCCCACCAAGGCGACGAUCUGUAGCGGGUCUGAGAGGAUGAUCCGCCACACUGGAACUGAGACACGGUCCAGACUCCUACGGGAGGCAGCAGUGGGGAAUUUUUGGACAAUGGGGGCAACCCUGAUCCAGCCAUGCCGCGUGAGUGAAGAAGG